Molecule: ribosomal RNA, 242 nt
Filed under: Salmonella enterica subsp. enterica serovar Typhimurium
Lineage: Bacteria; Pseudomonadati; Pseudomonadota; Gammaproteobacteria; Enterobacterales; Enterobacteriaceae
Description: partial 23S ribosomal RNA
Rfam family: Bacterial large subunit ribosomal RNA
Source: RNAcentral
CGUUCUAUGUGUGGAGAAGGUGUACCGUGAGGAGCGCUGGAACGCAUAGAAGUGAGAAUGCCGGUAUGAGUAGCGAAAGAAGGGUGAGAAUCCCUUCCACCGAAUAUCUAAGGUUUCCUGAGGAAGGCUCGUCCGCUCAGGGUUAGUCGGGACCUAAGCCGAGGCCGAUAGGCGUAGGCGAUGGACAACAGGUAGAGAUUCCUGUACCAGUGCUAAUUGUUUAACCAAUGGGGUGACACAGA